UUAAGUUCAGCGGGUAUUCCUACCUGAUUCGAGGUCAACUCUAAAAAAAGUUUGGGCGUUUUACGGCAGUGGCCGCGCCGCGCUCCUGUUGCGAGGUUGUGCUACUACGCAGAGGAGGCCGCGACGAGACCGCCAAUUCAUUUCGGGGGCGGCGUGAACCCCCCGGAGGGGCUUCGCUCGCCGGUCCCCAACACCAAGCC
RNAcentral lists this unclassified non-coding RNA (200 nucleotides) under Pochonia sp. Its description in RNAcentral is "partial internal transcribed spacer 2". Lineage: Eukaryota; Fungi; Ascomycota; Sordariomycetes; Hypocreales; Clavicipitaceae. The record is from RNAcentral.